Xyrichtys novacula (pearly razorfish) is the source of this 1786-nucleotide non-coding RNA. Lineage: Eukaryota; Metazoa; Chordata; Actinopteri; Labriformes; Labridae. The record is from the annotation of a GenBank genome assembly.
CUCUCUCUUUCUCUUCUCCCUCAUGGAGAUGGAGGCGUGUGGUGGCUGCUGGCAUCCUGCCUGUGUGGUGUGGAGUGUUGUCGGGCUGUAAAAUCAGGUAUGCGUGAUCUGUGAUCUGGCUCUAUCUAUUCAGUUAUUUUAUGCUGUGUUUGACUCUGGUUUCGCUCCGCUGCAGCAGUGUGAUGUGACUGGGAGCUGGGCUGUCUCCUGGAGUCUGUGUGGACACAGUGCGCUUCUCGUGGGUAAGAUUCUGGUCUAUCUCCAACUUUAGGCUGUGAUGGUUUGGUGAGGGUACUGAUCAAUCUUCGCUCCCAGUCUUGAAUGGCAAAGUCGGGGCGGUGCGCGUCCUCCUCCUGUUGCCCGACAAUCCAAACAUGCUCUCUGGUAGGAAAAUUUAUUCGUCAGUUUUGAUUUAUUUUGUAUCUUUUUCUGGGUUCGGGUUUAAUUAGUUAAUUAGUUUCUUUUACAGUGCGUGGCCUUCAUCUGCCGCUGUCUUGGCUCUCUUCGCUCUCUUCGCUCUUGGCUUUUUUUUUCGGGAUUUGUUCUGCCUCUCUGCAGGCUGCAGCCACGCUGUUGUGGCUCACCGUGACUCCUGGUACCCUAACCUCUCCAGAGGCAAAGGCCGGCUGCUCCCUGGUUGCAGAGAGACCGUACACUAGACCAGCUGCGCUCCGCCUGCGCUGAAAGCUGACCAGGUUUGAAUCGGCGAGCUUUCAGCGCACUUUAUACGCUGGUGGCGAGCACGAAAAUGUCACUGUGUCCACUGAUUCUGUCGACACCUCCCCCUGCCAUGCCACCACGCUGGCUUGGCAGAUCUCAGUGCGCCUCAGUCCACGAAAAUACCAAGCUGGCUGUAUGCCGGGCUCUGCCAGACGAAAAUACAACUGCGCGGUGUCUAUCACCCUCCGCCGCCUCACCGGCGGACACGUAAAUAGAGCCCGUUGUCAUGAUCCAAUACUAUGGUUUUUUUAAAUAUGAAAUCAUUUUCUUUCACUUUAAGAAGCUAAUGGAUGGGAUGCAGGGGAUACAUUCUACGGCAGGGGUGCAUUCAAAGGAGAAUAAGGGGGAGACGAAUUUAAUGUCUUGUCAACUUCAUCAUGUGUGACUGUUUACUGGAUCUUUAAUUAAAUGCGGUUUCAGCUGUGUUAAUUCAGUCAGGUUGAGUGUCCAAACGUGUGCCAAAUGCACUCAUCAGAUAAGAUAUAGAUCAGAAUAUAUCGAUACAGAUCUAAAUGUAUGUGCUGAUUCAGAUAGUUGCACUGAAUAUUGGUUGUUGUGGAUUAUUUAUUGCACUGAAAUGUGCCUGACACUGUGGAAACCUGCCAGUGAGGGAUCGGUGAUGUAUGCGCACUACGCCACCGGUCAACUGGAAUACCACUAGACCAUCUGCGCUCCACCUUCGGUGAAAGCUGACCAGGUUUGAAUCGGCAAGCUCUUAGUGCACUUUUCACGCCACCGGCAUGAACAAAAAUGUCACUGUGCAGCUGAUUCCGUCGACACCUCCCCCUACCGCGCCACCACACCCAGCUGGGGCACCUUGGUGUGCCUUGGUCUACGAAAAUACCAAAACCGGUUUGUGCCGGGCUCCGCAAGAUGAAAAUACUACUGCGCAGAGUGCACUAUCGCCCGCCGCGGUGCACAAAAAUAGAAAUUAAAAAAAUAAAAAUAAAAUAAAAUAAAGUUUAAGAGCUGCCACAUUCUCGUGUCUUUUGUUGUUGCCUGUACCAUAAAUAAAACUAGUGAGUGUAAAAACUUGAUCAAAGGAGUUAAAAACCUUGGUUAAAAG